RNAcentral lists this ribosomal RNA (760 nucleotides) under Psathyrella fusca. RNAcentral's name for it is "eukaryotic LSU rRNA". It matches the Rfam family "Eukaryotic large subunit ribosomal RNA", at positions 131 to 881 of the family's 3401-position model. The record is from RNAcentral. Lineage: Eukaryota; Fungi; Basidiomycota; Agaricomycetes; Agaricales; Psathyrellaceae.
UGGCCAUCCGAGUUGUAAUCUAGAGAAGUGUUACCCGCGUCGGACCGUGUACAAGUCUCCUGGAAUGGAGCGUCAUAGAGGGUGAGAAUCCCGUCUUUGACACGGACUACCGAGGCUUUGUGGUGCUCUCAAAGAGUCGAGUUGUUUGGGAAUGCAGCUCAAAAUGGGUGGUAAAUUCCAUCUAAAGCUAAAUAUUGGCGAGAGACCGAUAGCGAACAAGUACCGUGAGGGAAAGAUGAAAAGAACUUUGGAAAGAGAGUUAAACAGUACGUGAAAUUGCUGAAAGGGAAACGCUUGAAGUCAGUCGCGUUGGCCGGAAAUCAGCCUUGCUUUUGCAUGGUGUACUUUCUGGUUGACGGGCCAGCAUCAGUUUUGACCGGUGGAAAAAGUCCAGAGGAAGGUGGCAUCUUCGGAUGUGUUAUAGCCUCUGGUCGUAUACAUCGAUUGGGACUGAGGAACUCAGCACGCCGAAAGGCCGGGUCUUUGACCACGUUCGUGCUUAGGAUGCUGGCAUAAUGGUUUUAAUCGACCCGUCUUGAAACACGGACCAAGGAGUCUAACAUGCCUGCGAGUGUUUGGGUGGAAAACCCGAGCGCGUAAUGAAAGUGAAAGUUGAGAUCCCUGUCAUGGGGAGCAUCGACGCCCGGACCAGAAGUUUUCUGACGGCCCUGCGGUAGAGCAUGUAUGUUGGGACCCGAAAGAUGGUGAACUAUGCCUGAAUAGGGUGAAGCCAGAGGAAACUCUGGUGGAGGCUCGUAGC